CAGUCGUUCGUCAGAUUCUGACGAAUGGAUAUUCUCGUUCACUUUCGUGACAUUUAUAUUCGUGUACUAUCGUGUACUAGAAGUCAGUUCCCGUUUUAUCAUUAUUGGAAUCGAUUGGAAUGGCUCUUAGCUGAAGCUUCUCUCUUCUCUGAAGCUUAUUCUGAAGACUGAACAACAAGGGAAGAGGUAUAAAGCUUUGUCAAGCUUGUUAAGGAGCAAUGGCUAAUAUCCAGCUAUCCCAACAGUGCUCCUCUUGGCUAUACUAACGGACGAGACUGGACAGUUUGAGACACAGGACUGGAGUAUGACCUGCUCAUUCGAGCGUUGCUGGGUAGCUCAGAGACAUCAAGAGAAUCUACGUUUUCUCAAGUAAUGAGUUACGAGUUGGGGCCUGGAAUCAGAGAAGUCCAGCAGCCUGCUAAAUCUUUUUGAAACGUAAUUUGAAGGCAUUCAAUCAUCCUGAAGUUGCCCUGGGUCACUGUAAUUGUGCUGCAGCACAACUGGCAACUCCCCAGGCCUUUGUGAAGCAGCUCCCUAUGUGCAUCUUUUGUGUACUCACUCUGUGCAUUUUCUGUGUACAAAUUUCAAUUAUUGAUUUAUUAAAUAUUUUUGCCGACCACAAA
Molecule: long non-coding RNA, 623 nt
Organism: Halichondria panicea
Lineage: Eukaryota; Metazoa; Porifera; Demospongiae; Suberitida; Halichondriidae
Exons: 3
Source: RefSeq, a predicted model, not a curated record